Molecule: long non-coding RNA, 455 nt
Organism: Vigna radiata var. radiata (mung bean)
Lineage: Eukaryota; Viridiplantae; Streptophyta; Magnoliopsida; Fabales; Fabaceae
Exons: 2
Source: RefSeq, a predicted model, not a curated record
UCCUUCAAGUUUUUAUAUUAAUAAUUCUCAUUCUCUCUCUCUCUCUCUCCUAUAAUUCUGACUUGGGUCUGUAAUUAAAGAGUGGAAGUUGCCCCAAUCAAUCAAAAAGCUCAAAGCAGACACCAAAACCAAACGUGAAGAAAGGUCCAUGGUCUCCAGAAGAAGAUGCUAAGCUCAAAUCCUACAUAGAAAAACAUGGCACUGGUGGUAACUGGAUUGCUUUGCCUCAAAAAAUAGGUGGCUGAACUAUCUUCGCCCUAAUCUCAGGCACGGUGGUUUCUCCGAGGAAGAAGACAACAUUAUUUGUAGCCUUUACAUCAGUAUCGGAAGCAGGUUUAUACAUUCUUUUGGAUAUACAUGUGUGUGUGCGUGUUCAUUUCACUCCCAGCUUAAUGUGUUACUUUGCUACAAUAUAUGCAUGUUACUAAUUAUAAUGCGUGUUUGGUUUUUUGAGA